This 73-nucleotide transfer RNA is filed under the name Loxodonta africana (African savanna elephant). It matches the Rfam family "tRNA". From Rfam's summary of the family: Transfer RNA (tRNA) molecules are approximately 80 nucleotides in length. The record is from Rfam by way of RNAcentral. Lineage: Eukaryota; Metazoa; Chordata; Mammalia; Proboscidea; Elephantidae.
GUCUCUGGGGCAUAAGCAGUGAAUGCUCUUGGCUACUAACUGAAAGGCUGGGGUUCAAGUCCAUGCAGAGACA